This is a non-coding RNA of Vicugna pacos (alpaca), 1286 nucleotides long. NCBI's taxonomy places the organism in Eukaryota, Metazoa, Chordata, Mammalia, Artiodactyla, Camelidae. The record is from RefSeq and is a predicted model, not a curated record.
AGCCCCCUGCGCCCCCCUCUCGGGAGCUGAAUAGGCUGCGUUCCGCUUGGAACGCGCCGCAGAACCAGAGUCCUGGUGACGACUGCCGCGUCCGCUCCCUCAGUCCACUCGCCAACCCGCGGUCCUCCACCGCUGCACCCCGCCAACCCACCCCUCUCUUGUGCCAGGAACCGACAGGCACCAUGCCCUACCAAUACCCAGCACUGACCCCGGAGCAGAAGAAGGAGCUCUCUGACAUUGCUCACCGCAUCGUGGCUCUGGGCAAGGGCAUCCUGGCUGCAGAUGAGCCCACCGGGUGCAUUGCCAAGCGACUGCAGUCCAUCGGCACUGAGAACACCGAGGAGAACCGGUGCUUCUACCGCCAGCUGCUGCUGACAGCUGACGACCGCGUGAACCCCUGCAUUGGUGGCGUCAUCCUCUUCCAUGAGACACUCUACCAGAAGGCAGAUGAUGGGCGUCCCUUCCCCCAAGUUAUCAAAGCCAAGGGUGGUGUUGUGGGCAUCAAGGUAGACAAGGGUGUGGUACCCCUGGCAGGAACAAAUGGCGAGUUGACCACCCAAGGGCUGGAUAGGCUGUCUGAGCGCUGUGCCCAGUACAAGAAGGACGGAGCUGACUUUGCCAAGUGGCGCUGUGUGCUGAAGAUCGGGGAGCACACCCCCUCCUCCCUCGCCAUCAUGGAAAACGCCAAUGUCCUGGCCCGUUAUGCCAGCAUCUGCCAACAGAAUGGCAUUGUGCCCAUCGUGGAGCCCGAGAUCCUCCCUGAUGGGGACCAUGAUUUGAAAUGCUGUCAGUAUGUAACUGAGAAGGUGCUGGCUACUGUCUACAAGGCUCUGAGUGACCACCACAUCUACCUGGAAGGCACCUUGCUGAAGCCCAAUAUGGUAACCCUAGGCCACGCCUGCACCCACAAAUAUUCUCAUGAGGAGAUUGCCAUGGCAACUGUCACGGUACUGCGCCGCACAGUGCCGCCCGCUGUCCCUGGGAUCACCUUCUUAUCUGGAGGCCAGAGUGAGGAGGAGGCAUCCAUCAACCUCAACGCCAUCAACAAGUGCCCCCUGCUGAAGCCGUGGGCUCUGACCUUCUCCUAUGGCCGAGCCCUGCAGGCCUCUGCCCUGAAGACCUGGGGGGGAAAGAAGGAGAACCUGAAGCCUGCUCAGGAAGAAUACGUCAAGCGGGCCCUGGCCAACAGCCUCGCCUGCCAAGGAAAGUACACCCCGAGUGGUAAGGCAGGGGCUGCAGCCAGCGAGUCCCUCUUCAUCUUUGGACACUGAUGACGCCGUGAGGGC